UACGGGGGGAGCAAGCGUUGUUCGGAUUUACUGGGCGUAAAGGGCGCGUAGGCGGCCACCGCAAGUCGGUUGUGAAAUCUCUGGGCUUAACCCAGAAAGGUCAACCGAUACUGCGGGGCUAGAGUGCAGAAGGGGCAACUGGAAUUCUCGGUGUAGCGGUGAAAUGCGUAGAUAUCGAGAGGAACCCCUGCGGCGAAGGCGGGUUGCUGGGCUGACACUGACGCUGAAGCGCGAAAGCUAGGGGAGCGAACGGG
Molecule: ribosomal RNA, 254 nt
Filed under: uncultured bacterium
Lineage: Bacteria
Description: partial 16S ribosomal RNA
Rfam family: Bacterial small subunit ribosomal RNA
Source: RNAcentral